Molecule: ribosomal RNA, 153 nt
Filed under: uncultured bacterium
Lineage: Bacteria
Description: partial 16S ribosomal RNA
Rfam family: Bacterial small subunit ribosomal RNA
Source: RNAcentral
AAUCGCGCAUCAGCCGCGGCGCGGUGAAUACGUUCCCGGGCCUUGUACACACCGCCCGUCAAGCCAUGGAAGCCGGGAGUGCCUGAAGUGCGUGACCGCAAGGAGCGUCCUAAGGCAAUACCGGUGACUGGGGCUAAGUCGUAACAAGGUAAC